GAAUGCUAAACUGCACAGAUAAGCAAAAAGGUGGCAAAAUACUAACUACCUACUAUACAGUUUUCCUGUCAAACCAUUGCAGCAUAUAGGUUGAGACAGCAAUUUUAUGUAAAAUCUGUUGGGUUUGUAAUUGUUUGUGAAGAAGGAGGGAGCAAGCUUUCUUUAAGCUUUUCAUGCAUUAGAAUAUUCAGAUUCGGCAAAAUAGUUAAGUAACAAAAGUUUUUGAACAACUGUCAGUGGUAAAAUAAUGGCAAUGUAUUUGUUUUCCUGUGAGGAAAACAAACACAAGAACACAGUUAAGAGUGAUAGGUGGAAGCAAAUGUGAAACUCCUUCAGAUACAUCUAUUUUAGACUUCAUGAUUGAUGCUGCCUCCUUUACAUUUAAUUAUUAAAUCAUUAAUCCUCAGAGUUUCUCUUUGAAAUAUGCAUUACUUAAUGUUAAGAAACUGAGGCAAUAUGAGGCUGAAUACAAAAUUCCAAAGGCAGAGGGCUUGAAAAUUCUGAUCUCUAAAGAGGGUAGCUCUAAAGAGGGCAGAAUUUUCAAUGGGGGUGUGAAACAUCUCUCAUUGCAGUGACAAUACAAAUGGUACUAAAUCUAGAAUGGCAAAGUGGGAGAUAGUAGGGUGCUAGUUGAAUCCAGUAACAGAUGUAUUGUAGGAGGUGAUCUGGUGGGACAUGGGUCACAGUUAGAGGCAGAUGCCAUGCAACCAUAGCAGGGCCUGCUUCAGAUUGAGGGGGCCUUCAGCAAAAAUACUCUGCCCUCCACUGGGUCCACUUCCAGACCCUCUCUAAGAUUCAAGAUUUCCUGCCUGCCUGCCUCCUUCUCUGGAGUUCCUGUUUGGAGCCGCUGGCUGGCAAGGCAUUGGGGGUGUGUGUGCAAUAUGGCAGCUUCUAGUCAAAUUGCAUCCAAGCUCUAUACUUCCCAAGGGGUCCAAGGACAGAUGUCAAUGCAUGGAACUGGCCCUUUUCACAGCUGCCACACAUUGAGUCAACACAUUCAACAGGCUGUUCGUCACGAUCCCAAGAUUUCUCUCCUGGCUUGCUGUAGAGAAAGAGACUGAGGGACAGGAAUUCUGACAAUAGACUUUAAGAGCGAGAAAAGAAGGUUCUGAGUAGAAGCUAGAUUUCUAGAGAGAAGAAAUUUAUCAAGUAUCUGUGAUAGAAAGUUCUGAUUGAAUGGCGAAGAGGGUGGCAGCUUUCUGCUAUUGAUCUGCUAUCGUGGGACCAGCAUUUAGACUGAGGCCUGAAAUUGCAGACAGGCCUGGGAUCUGCUUAAUUAUCUAUCUUGUGGAAUACAAACCCU
Molecule: long non-coding RNA, 1303 nt
Organism: Hemicordylus capensis (graceful crag lizard)
Lineage: Eukaryota; Metazoa; Chordata; Lepidosauria; Squamata; Cordylidae
Exons: 3
Source: RefSeq, a predicted model, not a curated record